This 1502-nucleotide ribosomal RNA is filed under the name Limosilactobacillus fermentum. RNAcentral describes it as "bacterial SSU rRNA". It matches the Rfam family "Bacterial small subunit ribosomal RNA". Lineage: Bacteria; Bacillati; Bacillota; Bacilli; Lactobacillales; Lactobacillaceae. The record is from RNAcentral.
CGGCGGUGUGCCUAAUACAUGCAAGUCGAACGCGUUGGCCCAAUUGAUUGAUGGUGCUUGCACCUGAUUGAUUUUGGUCGCCAACGAGUGGCGGACGGGUGAGUAACACGUAGGUAACCUGCCCAGAAGCGGGGGACAACAUUUGGAAACAGAUGCUAAUACCGCAUAACAGCGUUGUUCGCAUGAACAACGCUUAAAAGAUGGCUUCUCGCUAUCACUUCUGGAUGGACCUGCGGUGCAUUAGCUUGUUGGUGGGGUAACGGCCUACCAAGGCGAUGAUGCAUAGCCGAGUUGAGAGACUGAUCGGCCACAAUGGGACUGAGACACGGCCCAUACUCCUACGGGAGGCAGCAGUAGGGAAUCUUCCACAAUGGGCGCAAGCCUGAUGGAGCAACACCGCGUGAGUGAAGAAGGGUUUCGGCUCGUAAAGCUCUGUUGUUAAAGAAGAACACGUAUGAGAGUAACUGUUCAUACGUUGACGGUAUUUAACCAGAAAGUCACGGCUAACUACGUGCCAGCAGCCGCGGUAAUACGUAGGUGGCAAGCGUUAUCCGGAUUUAUUGGGCGUAAAGAGAGUGCAGGCGGUUUUCUAAGUCUGAUGUGAAAGCCUUCGGCUUAACCGGAGAAGUGCAUCGGAAACUGGAUAACUUGAGUGCAGAAGAGGGUAGUGGAACUCCAUGUGUAGCGGUGGAAUGCGUAGAUAUAUGGAAGAACACCAGUGGCGAAGGCGGCUACCUGGUCUGCAACUGACGCUGAGACUCGAAAGCAUGGGUAGCGAACAGGAUUAGAUACCCUGGUAGUCCAUGCCGUAAACGAUGAGUGCUAGGUGUUGGAGGGUUUCCGCCCUUCAGUGCCGGAGCUAACGCAUUAAGCACUCCGCCUGGGGAGUACGACCGCAAGGUUGAAACUCAAAGGAAUUGACGGGGGCCCGCACAAGCGGUGGAGCAUGUGGUUUAAUUCGAAGCUACGCGAAGAACCUUACCAGGUCUUGACAUCUUGCGCCAACCCUAGAGAUAGGGCGUUUCCUUCGGGAACGCAAUGACAGGUGGUGCAUGGUCGUCGUCAGCUCGUGUCGUGAGAUGUUGGGUUAAGUCCCGCAACGAGCGCAACCCUUGUUACUAGUUGCCAGCAUUAAGUUGGGCACUCUAGUGAGACUGCCGGUGACAAACCGGAGGAAGGUGGGGACGACGUCAGAUCAUCAUGCCCCUUAUGACCUGGGCUACACACGUGCUACAAUGGACGGUACAACGAGUCGCGAACUCGCGAGGGCAAGCAAAUCUCUUAAAACCGUUCUCAGUUCGGACUGCAGGCUGCAACUCGCCUGCACGAAGUCGGAAUCGCUAGUAAUCGCGGAUCAGCAUGCCGCGGUGAAUACGUUCCCGGGCCUUGUACACACCGCCCGUCACACCAUGAGAGUUUGUAACACCCAAAGUCGGUGGGGUAACCUUUUAGGAGCCAGCCGCCUAAGGUGGGACAGAUGAUUAGGGUGAAGUCGUAACAAG